RNAcentral lists this ribosomal RNA (508 nucleotides) under uncultured bacterium. RNAcentral describes it as "partial 16S ribosomal RNA". It matches the Rfam family "Bacterial small subunit ribosomal RNA", at positions 28 to 507 of the family's 1533-position model. The record is from RNAcentral.
GAUGAACGCUGGCGGCGUGCCUAAUACAUGCAAGUCGAGCGAAGGAAGUAAUACGAACCCUUCGGGGGGAUGUUGACGGACUGGGCGGCGACAGGGUGAUUACCACGUUAAGAACCUGCCAUAAGGUCUGGGAUAACCACGUGAAAUCGGGGCUAAUACCGGAUGGGUCAUCGGAACGCAUGAUCCCAGGCUGCAAGGCGCUCCGGCGUCGACUGGGGCUGGCUUGGCGGUGCAUUAGCUAGUUGGUGUGGUAAUGGCACACCAAGGCGACGAUGCAUAGCCGACCUGAGAGGGUGAUCGGCCACACUGGAACUGAGACACGGCCCAGACUCCUACGGGAGGCAGCAGUAGGGAAUCUUCCACAAUGGGCGAAAGCCUGAUGGAGCAACGCCGCGUGAACGAUGAAGGCCUUCGGGUCGUAAAGUUCUGUUAUAAGGGAAGAACAAGUGCGUAAGGAAAUGGCGACGCCUUGACGGUACCUAGCGAGAAAGCCACGGCUAACUACGUG